Ribosomal RNA from Chlorocebus sabaeus (green monkey), 108 nucleotides. NCBI's taxonomy places the organism in Eukaryota, Metazoa, Chordata, Mammalia, Primates, Cercopithecidae. The record is from Ensembl.
GUCUGUGGCCAUACCACCCUUAACAUGCCCGAUCUUGUCUGAUCUUGAGAACCCAAGGGUCGGGCCUCAUUGGUACAGGCUAGUUAGUAAUACGGGGUAUUGUAGAAC